UAGGGAAUCUUCCACAAUGGACGCAAGUCUGAUGGAGCAACGCCGCGUGAGUGAAGAAGGCUUUCGGGUCGUAAAACUCUGUUAUUGAAGAAGAACGUGCGUGACAGUAACUGGUCAUGCAGUGACGGUAUUCAAUCAGAAAGUCACGGCUAACUACGUGCCAGCAGCCGCGGUAAUACGUAGGUGGCAAGCGUUGUCCGGAUUUAUUGGGCGUAAAGCGAGUGCAGGCGGUCCUUUAAGUCUGAUGUGAAAGCCUUCGGCUUAACCGAAGAAGGGCAUCGGAAACUGGGAGACUUGAGUGCAGAAGAGGAGAGUGGAACUCCAUGUGUAGCGGUGAAAUGCGUAGAUAUAUGGAAGAACACCAGUGGCGAAGGCGGCUCUCUGGUCUGUAACUGACGCUGAGGCUCGAAAGCGUGGGUAGCAAACAGGAUUAGAUACCCUGGUAGUCCACGCCGUAAACGA
RNAcentral lists this ribosomal RNA (462 nucleotides) under uncultured bacterium. RNAcentral describes it as "partial 16S ribosomal RNA". It matches the Rfam family "Bacterial small subunit ribosomal RNA", at positions 355 to 809 of the family's 1533-position model. The record is from RNAcentral.